CCCCCGGUAGCUCAGCUGGCAGAGCAGCGGCCUUUUAAGCCGAGGGUCGGGGGUUCGAAUCCCUCCCGGGGGACCC
The sequence is a transfer RNA, 76 nucleotides long. It matches the Rfam family "tRNA". Rfam says of the family: Transfer RNA (tRNA) molecules are approximately 80 nucleotides in length. Their secondary structure includes four short double-helical elements and three loops (D, anti-codon, and T loops).